AAGUCGUAACAAGGUCUCCGUAGGUGAACCUGCGGAGGGAUCAUUACCAAAGAUGGCGGGCCUCCGGGCCCCCGCUCCCCUAACCCUUUAGUUCGACCUAAAACCUUUUUGCCUGCGGGGGCAGAGCGGUCCGCCGCCCGCCCCGGAGGACCACCGAACGCUGUCUCUUUACGUCGGAGUAUUGAUUGAAUAAAUGAAAA
Molecule: unclassified non-coding RNA, 200 nt
Filed under: plant metagenome
Description: partial contains small subunit ribosomal RNA and internal transcribed spacer 1
Rfam family: Eukaryotic small subunit ribosomal RNA (bases 1-46)
Source: RNAcentral